Molecule: unclassified non-coding RNA, 367 nt
Filed under: uncultured Alphaproteobacteria bacterium
Lineage: Bacteria; Pseudomonadati; Pseudomonadota; Alphaproteobacteria
Description: contains 16S-23S intergenic spacer region
Rfam family: Bacterial small subunit ribosomal RNA (bases 246-367)
Source: RNAcentral
UCCGGCUUAUCACCGGCAGUCCCCUUAGAGUGCCCAACUAAAUGAUGGCAACUAAGGGCGAGGGUUGCACUCGUUGCGGGACUUAACCCAACAUCUCACGACACGAGCUGACGACAGCCAUGCAGCACCUGUCUCCGGUCCAGCCGAACUGAAGGGCUCCAUCUCUGGUGCCCGCGACCGGGAUGUCAAAGGUUGGUAAGGUUCUGCGCGUUGCUUCGAAUUGAACCACAUGCUCCACCGCUUGUGCGGAGCGUGUGGUUUAAUUCGAUGCGACGCGAAGAACCUUACCUGGGUUUGACAUGCACGUGAUAGGGAGGGGAAACCUGACCGACCUUCGGGAGCGUGCACAGGUGCUGCAUGGCUGUCG